RNAcentral lists this ribosomal RNA (253 nucleotides) under uncultured bacterium. RNAcentral describes it as "partial 16S ribosomal RNA". It matches the Rfam family "Bacterial small subunit ribosomal RNA", at positions 524 to 776 of the family's 1533-position model. The record is from RNAcentral.
UACGAAGGGGGCUAGCGUUGCUCGGAAUCACUGGGCGUAAAGGGUGCGUAGGCGGGUCUUUAAGUCAGGGGUGAAAUCCUGGAGCUCAACUCCAGAACUGCCUUUGAUACUGAAGAUCUUGAGUUCGGGAGAGGUGAGUGGAACUGCGAGUGUAGAGGUGAAAUUCGUAGAUAUUCGGAAGAACACCAGUGGCGAAGGCGACUCACUGGACACGUAUUGACGCUGAGGAGCGAAAGCGUGGGGAGCAAACAGG